Molecule: non-coding RNA, 2023 nt
Organism: Cinara cedri
Lineage: Eukaryota; Metazoa; Arthropoda; Insecta; Hemiptera; Aphididae
Source: the annotation of a GenBank genome assembly
AUGCUCUCGCGGUCACCGCGAACCCGCCGAGUCCUCCCCCAAUCACAUUCAAAUAUUAUUAUAAUAUUAGAGUCGAUCGUAACGUGAUCAUGACGUGCGAAUACACUGCAACUCUAUUAUUAUGACACUCGAAAAACCCGAAAUUUUGACGCUACGUUGCCAUAUUCACAUGGUAAAAUGAACAUGUCGUUAUAUUAUAUAUACAACGUGUAAUAUAAUACGUCUACAGUAGUUCCCGCCCAGAGCCGACGAAUUUUUUCGGUUUCAUCGAAUUUCUCCCUGAAUUAUGACACUUUCUGUUAUUCAUACUUUAAAUUUAUUUUUCUGCAGUUUUAUGCACUUUCAAUCAAAUACACUCAAACUAGGAAAUCAGAAUUUUUUUAUAGACUGAAAUUGUGGAAUUGAAUUAAAAUAUUAAUUUUAUCAUAUUGUUGCGAGAGAAGGGAGUUUCUGUAGCUCUGAAAAUUACUACAAACUUCCUCCUCCCACCACCACCAAAUGAAACCAGGGAAUGCAACUAUAUAUAAUUUAUAUAGCAUCAUCAAAAGAGUAUAAAAAAUGUGCUUUUUGGUGGUUUGCCUUUUAGAUUCUGAGUGGAGUAAAGAAUGUAUUGGUUUUACCAUGUUCAUUUUUUUUUUUUUAUCUGUAAACAAUAACUUGUCUACCAUCAAUUUUGCUCAAAUUUUCAAAUGUAGUUACUUUAAGGUGGUACAUUAAGAAGGUCAUUUUCUGAUUAUCCCAGAGGUUUUCAUAAUAAAUGAGAGAAACUGAGAAAAAACGUGUAAAAAACGGAAAAAUGUACGAAAUGUAUUAUUUUUAAAUCGCAAAUAUUACAGCCUUUCAAACAUGUAUAACUGAACUCUCCUCAGAAUUGUUUUUCGUUAGCAAUGGUGAAUCGUUGGGUACAGAUGUACAUUCAAUUUCCCCGUUACCUUUCCAACUUCUUACCUAUAAUAGUGGCCCACCCAUCGUACGAAGUAUGUCCGUUUGGUUUUUAUGAUUAACUUUUUCUAAGUAUUAUAAUAGGUGCUUAUUAAAUGUAUAGUAUAGUAUAAUAUAGUAUUAUUCGGUUAAUUGGUAAAUAAUUAUUUAAAAUUAAACUCUAUUUUUUAUUUUAUUUUGCUUGGAUUGCGCUGUUUUUACGUCACUAUUAUUACCAUAUCACUAUGUUAGUUUUCACUUUAAUUACUUCAAUCUUGUUAAUUUUCUAUUAUUAAUUUUACUAUUUUAGAUGGAUAUACCCCGUUAUAACACAUAGUAUUGUAUUAUUAUAUUAUACGACUAUGAAUUGUCUUUACAGAGAAUAUUCUUAUAAUUUAAAAUGGGCGUGGAGAAAUCCUACUCUGCUCUAAGAACCUCUGCAUAUUGUACGAUGAGUUCAACCGAUUGACAUUCCUCGUCUUUACCUCGUUAAAAAUAUAUGACGUAUAAAAAAAAAUGAAUUAAACCGCAAGAUCGUGACGAAACGAUUGCCGUUUGCAAUUGAUUUAAAACGAUCGCAUAAUUCGUUAUACUCCAUACUUAAUGCGUACAGUGUUUUAAACAUGUUUACACCGUUUAAACCGAAAUAAAGAUCCAGAAAACAAAAAAUUCACGAGGAAGACGCUUUUGGGUACCGUAUCUUCUUGGCCAUCCCCUCACCCCUACAUUAAAAAUGCGGAUUUUACAGCAAUUAAACAAUUAAUGGCCAAAUUUUUAAUUUGCUCGAAACGAUUACUAAUUUACGACGAGACAAUACAAGAUUCUGAUAAAAUUAAGAACUCGUAUAUUCAAUGUCGACUCUCGAUUUUUCCAAGAUAAACUUAACGCUAAAACGUUGAGUUAUAGAUUUAUAGUGAUCGAUGGUACUCAGAAGUUUUAAACAUUCAAUAUCAAUACUUGGAGCUGAGGUCCUGGUGGUCCAAAAUCAAAGAAAUUUCGGGUUUUCGGAUUAAAACCGAUAUUAACGACCAAAACACAGUGGCGGCGAUAUCAUAUGAGAUGAUUUGAUUAAUUUUUUUCGACAAUAGAAAUUGUGUACUAU